This 402-nucleotide ribosomal RNA is filed under the name uncultured bacterium. Its description in RNAcentral is "bacterial SSU rRNA". It matches the Rfam family "Bacterial small subunit ribosomal RNA", at positions 355 to 774 of the family's 1533-position model. The record is from RNAcentral.
UCGGGAAUUUUGGGCAAUGGGCGAAAGCCUGACCCAGCAACGCCGCGUGAGGGAUGAAGUAUUUCGGUAUGUAAACCUCGAAAGAAUGGGAAGAAUAAAUGACGGUACCAUUUAUAAGCUCCGGCUAACUACGUGCCAGCAGCCGCGGUAAUACGUAGGGAGCAAGCGUUGUUCGGAUUUACUGGGCGUAAAGGGCGCGUAGGCGGCGCGGUAAGUCACUUGUGAAAUCUCUGAGCUUAACUCAGAACGGCCAAGUGAUACUGCUGUGCUAGAGUGCGGAAGAGGCAACCGGAAUUCUUGGUGUAGCGGUGAAAUGCGUAGAUAUCAAGAGGAACACCUGAGGCGAAGGCGGGUUGCUGGGCCGACACUGACGCUGAUGCGCGAAAGCGUGGGGAGCAAACA